Molecule: ribosomal RNA, 254 nt
Filed under: uncultured bacterium
Lineage: Bacteria
Description: partial 16S ribosomal RNA
Rfam family: Bacterial small subunit ribosomal RNA
Source: RNAcentral
UACGUAGGCAGCGAGCGUUGUUCGGAGUUACUGGGCGUAAAGGGUGUGUAGGCGGUUGUUUAAGUUUGGUGUGAAAUCUCCCGGCUCAACUGGGAGGGUGCGCCGAAUACUGAAUGACUUGGAGUGCGGGAGAGGAGAGUGGAAUUCCUGGUGUAGCGGUGAAAUGCGCAGAUAUCAGGAGGAACACCAAUGGCGAAGGCAGCUCGCUGGGACGGUACUGACGCUGAGACGCGAAAGCGUGGGGAGCAAACAGG